UACGGAGGGUGCAAGCGUUGUUCGGAAUCACUGGGCGUAAAGCGCGCGCAGGCGGUCUUCCAAGUCAGUGGUGAAAGCCCGGAGCUCAACUCCGGAACUGCCAUUGAAACUGUGAGACUUGAGUAUGAGAGAGGUGAGUGGAAUUCCCAGUGUAGAGGUGAAAUUCGUAGAUAUUGGGAAGAACACCGGUGGCGAAGGCGGCUUUCUGGUCCGGUACUGACGCUGAGGUGCGAAAGCGUGGGGAGCAAACAGG
RNAcentral lists this ribosomal RNA (253 nucleotides) under uncultured bacterium. Its description in RNAcentral is "partial 16S ribosomal RNA". It matches the Rfam family "Bacterial small subunit ribosomal RNA", at positions 524 to 776 of the family's 1533-position model. The record is from RNAcentral.